GACAUUUGGUAGAGACUGUUGAAGUCACCUGGUCCCAGAAGACCCCAGAAAAUGACCACAUUCUCUGGUGCUGGAACAAGGUUGUUAAGUGAGAAGCCUGGUGCCAGAUGUGU
Panthera pardus (leopard) is the source of this 113-nucleotide ribosomal RNA. NCBI's taxonomy places the organism in Eukaryota, Metazoa, Chordata, Mammalia, Carnivora, Felidae. The record is from Ensembl.